This is a non-coding RNA of Danio rerio (zebrafish), 70 nucleotides long. NCBI's taxonomy places the organism in Eukaryota, Metazoa, Chordata, Actinopteri, Cypriniformes, Danionidae. The record is from Rfam.
GGGGGUAUAGUUUAGUUGUAGAGCAUUUGACUGCACAUCAAGGUCCCUGGUUUAAAUUCGGGUGCCCCUU